AACGCACCUUGCGCUCCUUGGUAUUCCGAGGAGCAUGCCUGUUUGAGUGUCAUUAAAUUCUCAACCCUUCCAGCUUUUGCGAGUUGUGAUGGGCUUGGAUAUGGGAGUUUGCGGGUCUUUAUCAAUAAAGGUCAGCUCUCCUGAAAUACAUUAGCGGAACCGUUUGCAGUCCCGUCACUAGUGUGAUAAUUAUCUACACUGUGAUGAUUGCUCUCUGACUAGUUCAGCUGCUAAUCGUCCACUAUGGACAACACUUAAUGAACUUCUUGACCUCAAAUCAGGUAGGACUACCCGCUGAACUUAA
RNAcentral lists this unclassified non-coding RNA (304 nucleotides) under uncultured Lycoperdon. RNAcentral describes it as "sequence contains ITS2". The stretch from base 1 to 52 matches the Rfam family "5.8S ribosomal RNA", at positions 103 to 154 of the family's 154-position model. The record is from RNAcentral. Lineage: Eukaryota; Fungi; Basidiomycota; Agaricomycetes; Agaricales; Lycoperdaceae.